AGAAUCAACGCUGGCGGCGUGCCUAACACAUGCAAGUCGAACGAGAAAGUGGAGCAAUCCAUGAGUAAAGUGGCGCACGGGUGAGUAACACGUGACUAACCUACCCUUGAGUGGGGGAUAACCUAGGGAAACCUGGGCUAAUACCGCAUAAUACCUAUGGGUCAAAGGAGCAAUUCGCUUAAGGAGGGGGUCGCGGCCGAUUAGUUAGUUGGCGGGGUAAUGGCCCACCAAGACGAUGAUCGGUA
This 245-nucleotide ribosomal RNA is filed under the name uncultured bacterium. Its description in RNAcentral is "partial small subunit ribosomal RNA". It matches the Rfam family "Bacterial small subunit ribosomal RNA", at positions 26 to 285 of the family's 1533-position model. The record is from RNAcentral.